This is a non-coding RNA of Bactrocera oleae (olive fruit fly), 580 nucleotides long. The record is from RefSeq and is a predicted model, not a curated record. NCBI's taxonomy places the organism in Eukaryota, Metazoa, Arthropoda, Insecta, Diptera, Tephritidae.
CCCGUAGUAAUUCUAUGUCGUCUUAAAUGCGUUCGAUAAGUAUGGGCAUUUAAGAUAUCAAUUAUUAGCGCUUGCGCGAAAAUUCUUAUUAUUUGUGGUUUUAUGUUGUUUAGGUUGAACGUUCAAUAAAAUGUCGGACUGGCUAUAUUUGUAUUUUUAGGUAAAUGUUAUAAAAAUGUUCUGUCGGAAUAUGGUGUGCUGGAUGUGUAAUGUGCCCGUCUUAAGUGUAUAAACAAAUCCUACAUUAAGAGAAAGUGAGCAAUAUGGUCAAAAACUAAAAAGGGAUCAAUGUGUGUUUAAAUCAUGGCAUAUAACCGAGGCUGCUUGUUAGUGUAUAAUGAUUGAGCUACAUGCAAAAUUAAAUACUAUUUGGUAUAUAGUUUUAAUUAUUUCAUCUAUAUCAACUGGUAUAAAAUCAGACGUCAGUAAAAUGUCACCUAUAAAAAACCAUUUCAUGGAAUCUAGUCAAUCUCAUUUUACUACAAAGAAUAGCACUCGUGUUAUAGCACAGAAAGGUGGUUUGGCUGUUUUACCAUGUGUCGUCAAACUAAAUUCUCCAGCAACAGUAAGUAUUGUAUUU